CCUCGGUUCUAUUUUGUUGGUUUUCGSAACACGAGGUAAUGAUUAAGAGGGACWSACGGGGGCAUUCKUAUUGCGACGCUWGAGGUGAAAUUCUUGGACCGUCGCAAGACGAACUACUGCGAAAGCAUUUGCCAAGAAUGUUUCCAUUAAUCAAGAACGAAAGUUAGAGGUUCGAAGGCGAUCAGAUACCGCCCUAGUUCUAACCAUAAACGAUGCCAGCCAGCGAUCCGGCUGUGUUCCUCAAAUGACACGCCGGGCAGCUUCCGGGAAACCAAAGCUUUUGGGUUCCGGGGGAAGUAUGGUUGCAAAGCUGAAACUUAAAGGAAUUGACGGAAGCGCACCACCAGGAAUGGAGCCUGCGGCUUAAUUUGACUCAACACGGGAAAGCUUACCCGGAUAGGACACAGGAAGGAUUGACAGAUUAAGAGCUCUUUCUUGAUUCUGUGGAAGGUGGUGCAUGGCCAUUCUUAGUUGGUGGAGUGAUUUGUCUGGUUAAUUCCGAUAACGAUCGAGACUCUAGCCUACUAAAUAGACGUUCCGAUUCUUGUUGUCGGACGUUYUUCUUAGAGGGACACGCGGSGUUUASCCGCACGAGACAGAGCAAUAGUAGGUCUGUGAUGCCCYUAGAUGUMCGRGGSCGCACGCGCGYUACAUURAAGGAAUMAGCGUGUGCUUUCCCUGUYCGACARGACUGGGKAAMCCGUUGAACCUCYUUYGUGCUUGGGAWAGGMGMUUGUAAUUGUCCGCCYUGAASGAGGAAUUCCYAGUAAGCACGAGUMAUCAGM
This 785-nucleotide ribosomal RNA is filed under the name Anelosimus guacamayos. Its description in RNAcentral is "partial 18S ribosomal RNA". It matches the Rfam family "Eukaryotic small subunit ribosomal RNA", at positions 839 to 1655 of the family's 1831-position model. Lineage: Eukaryota; Metazoa; Arthropoda; Arachnida; Araneae; Theridiidae. The record is from RNAcentral.